Molecule: transfer RNA, 65 nt
Filed under: Dipodomys ordii (Ord's kangaroo rat)
Lineage: Eukaryota; Metazoa; Chordata; Mammalia; Rodentia; Heteromyidae
Rfam family: tRNA
About the family: Transfer RNA (tRNA) molecules are approximately 80 nucleotides in length.
Source: Rfam by way of RNAcentral
GGUGGCUCAGGGGCAGAGUGCUUGCCUUACAUGCAUGAGGGCCUGGGUUCGAUUCCUCAGCACCA